UACAAAGGAAUUGACGGGGCCCGCACAAGCGGUGGAGCAUGUGGUUUAAUUCGACGCAACGCGAAGAACCUUACCAGGGCUUGACAUCCCCUGACCGCGUAUGAAAGUACGUUUUCACCUCGGGUGACAGGGAGACAGGUGGUGCAUGGUUGUCGUCAGCUCGUGUCGUGAGAUGUUGGGUUAAGUCCCGCAACGAGCGCAACCCCUACGUUUAGUUGCUAACGCGUGAAGGCGAGCACUCUAGACGAACUGCCGUUGACAAAACGGAGGAAGGUGGGGAUGACGUCAAAUCAUCAUGCCCCUUAUGUUCUGGGCUACACACGUGCUACAAUGGCCGGUACAGACGGGCGCAAAGCCGCGAGGUGGAGCAAAUCCUAAAAAGCCGGUCUCAGUUCGGAUUGCAGGCUGCAAUUCGCCUGCAUGAAGUCGGAAUCGCUAGUAAUCGCAGGUCAGCAUACUGCGGUGAAUACGUUCCCGGGCCUU
Molecule: ribosomal RNA, 483 nt
Filed under: uncultured Pelotomaculum sp.
Lineage: Bacteria; Bacillati; Bacillota; Clostridia; Eubacteriales; Desulfotomaculaceae
Description: bacterial SSU rRNA
Rfam family: Bacterial small subunit ribosomal RNA
Source: RNAcentral